UGGGGAAUCUACCGCAAUGGACGAAAGUCUGACGGAGCAACGCCGCGUGAGUGAUGAAGGUCUUCGGAUUGUAAAACUCUGUUGUUUGGGAAGAACGGCUCAUAUGUGAAUAAUGUAUGAGAUUGACGGUACCAAACGAGGAAGCCCCGGCUAACUACGUGCCAGCAGCCGCGGUAAUACGUAGGGGGCAAGCGUUGUCCGGAAUUAUUGGGCGUAAAGAGCGCGCAGGCGGUUUGUUAAGUCUACCGUGAAAGCUUACGGCUCAACCGUAACGGGUCGGUGGAUACUGACAGACUUGAGGGCAGGAGAGGAAAGUGGAAUUCCCAGUGUAGCGGUGAAAUGCGUAGAGAUUGGGAGGAACACCAGUGGCGAAGGCGACUUUCUGGACUGUUACUGACGCUGAGGCGCGAAAGCUGGGGGAGUGAACGGGAUUAGGAUACCCCGGGUAAUCCCAGCCGUAAACGAUGGGUACUAGGUGUAGGAGGUAUCGACCCUUCUGUGCCGGAGUUAACGC
RNAcentral lists this ribosomal RNA (514 nucleotides) under uncultured Bacillota bacterium. RNAcentral's name for it is "bacterial SSU rRNA". It matches the Rfam family "Bacterial small subunit ribosomal RNA", at positions 355 to 858 of the family's 1533-position model. Lineage: Bacteria; Bacillati; Bacillota. The record is from RNAcentral.